UGGGGAAUUUUGCACAAUGGGGGAAACCCUGAUGCAGCGACGCCGCGUGAUUUAGAAGGCCUUCGGGUUGUAAAAAUCUUUUCUAUGGGAAGAAAAUGACAGUACCAUAGGAAUAAGGACCGGCUAAUUACGUGCCAGCAGCCGCGGUAAUACGUAAGGUCCGAGCGUUGUCCGGAAUCAUUGGGCGUAAAGGGUACGUAGGCGGGUAAGCAAGUUAGAAGUGAAAUCCUAUAGCUCAACUAUAGUAAGCUUUUAAAACUGCUUAUCUUGAGGUAUGGAAGGGAAAGUGGAAUUCCUAGUGUAGCGGUGAAAUGCGCAGGUAUUAGGAGGAAUACCGGUGGCGAAGGCGACUUUAUGGCCAUAUCCUGACGCUGGGGUACGAAAGCGUGGGUAGCAAACAGG
RNAcentral lists this ribosomal RNA (402 nucleotides) under bacterium. RNAcentral's name for it is "partial 16S ribosomal RNA". It matches the Rfam family "Bacterial small subunit ribosomal RNA", at positions 355 to 776 of the family's 1533-position model. The record is from RNAcentral.